UAGGGAAUCUUCCGCAAUGGGCGAAAGCCUGACGGAGCAACGCCGCGUGAUUGAUGAAGGCCUUCGGAUCGUAAAACUCUGUUAUUAGGGAAGAACAAAUGUGUAAGUAACUAUGCACGUCUUGACGGUACCUAAUCAGAAAGCCACGGCUAACUACGUGCCAGCAGCCGCGGUAAUACGUAGGUGGCAAGCGUUAUCCGGAAUUAUUGGGCGUAAAGCGCGCGUAGGCGGUUUUUUAAGUCUGAUGUGAAAGCCCACGGCUCAACCGUGGAGGGUCAUUGGAAACUGGGAAACUUGAGUGCAGAAGAUGAAAGGUGAAUUCCAAGUGAAGCGGGGAAAUGCGCAGGGAUAUGGAGGAAAACCAGUGACGAAGGCGACUUUCUAAUCUGUAACUAACGCUGAUGUGCGAAAGCGUGGGGAUCAAACAGG
RNAcentral lists this ribosomal RNA (429 nucleotides) under Actinomycetes bacterium. RNAcentral's name for it is "Actinobacteria bacterium partial 16S ribosomal RNA". It matches the Rfam family "Bacterial small subunit ribosomal RNA", at positions 355 to 776 of the family's 1533-position model. Lineage: Bacteria; Bacillati; Actinomycetota; Actinomycetes. The record is from RNAcentral.